AGAAUUGAUCUGGUUCAGGACGAACGCUGGCGGCGUGCCUAAUACAUGCAAGUCGAACGGUAACAGGAAGCAGCUUGCUGCUUUGCUGACGAGUGGCGGACGGGUGAGUAAUGUCUGGGAAACUGCCCGAUGGAGGGGGAUAACUACUGGAAACGGUAGCUAAUACCGCAUAAUGUCGCAAGACCAAAGAGGGGGACCUUCGGGCCUCUUGCCAUCGGAUGUGCCCAGAUGGGAUUAGCUAGUUGGUGAGGUAACGGCUCACCAAGGCGACGAUCCCUAGCUGGUCUGAGAGGAUGACCAGCCACACUGGAACUGAGACACGGUCCAGACUCCUACGGGAGGCAGCAGUGGGGAAUAUUGCACAAUGGGCGCAAGCCUGAUGCAGCCAAUGCCGCGUGUAUGAAGAAGGCCUUCGGGUUGUAAAGUACUUUCAGCGGGGAGGAAGGGGUUAAGGUUAAUAACCUUAGCCAUUGACGUUACCCGCAGAAGAAGCACCGGCUAACUCCGUGCCAGCCGCCGC
RNAcentral lists this ribosomal RNA (520 nucleotides) under uncultured bacterium. RNAcentral describes it as "bacterial SSU rRNA". It matches the Rfam family "Bacterial small subunit ribosomal RNA", at positions 8 to 518 of the family's 1533-position model. The record is from RNAcentral.